This is a non-coding RNA of Camellia sinensis, 2397 nucleotides long. Lineage: Eukaryota; Viridiplantae; Streptophyta; Magnoliopsida; Ericales; Theaceae. The record is from RefSeq and is a predicted model, not a curated record.
UUUUUUAUCUGCUUUGAAUCUCUCACAGGUACUAUCAAUUUUCAUAUCUCUUGAGGAAUCAAAUCUGGUGUACGGAUUCCUUUUAUGCACUGUGUGGUUGCUUAGAAAAUGAGGAAAACAAGAAAAGAAGGAGAAAAUUUUGAUGUACUUGUGUGUUUUCAUUUUUCCUUUGCCUCAUCCUUAAUUAGUGACCUUACUCUCUGGAUGCAAUUCAUAUCGAAUGAUAGCUUUUACCUUACCUUCAUGCAAUAGAGAAUUUAUUCCUACCUAGAUGUAGUUACACAAAAAUAAAAUAUUAAUAUAAAUAUCACUGAUAAUAAUAAUAAUAAUAAUAAUAAAAUUCUUCUUGCUUCCACAAUAAAUCUAGUUGCAGUGAUCUCUUCAAAUGAAACUACAAAUCUCAUAAAAUUUAAUAUACCAUUUUAUAGAUCAUUGAAGUUUUAGAUUGUGAAUGGUCUUUGGCUGGUUUAUACAAAACUUGUGAAUAGACUAUAUGUAUGUUGGCCAUAUAUAAUUCAUUUGACCUUGUAACGUGUAAUAAGCAGUAAUAAAGCCAAGAUAGAACCUUGAAGGUUGUUUCAAUUAAAUAUAGAACGUCAUUUUUGGACUUAUAAAUAGGUCCUAAAUUCACAUUUUAGGUUGAAAUUAUGAAGAAAACUUUCCCUGAUGUUCUGCAAAGAUUUUCUACAUAUAGCUUGAAUUUCUAUUGAUAUUGCAACUAGGACGAGUGAUGUAGAGAGAAUGAAAUGAAGCAAUCCAAGUUCAAGAGGAUUUGUGUCUUCUAUGGGACUAGCCACGGCAAGAAGAGCAGCUACCAAGCAAUCCACAUUUACUUUUCUCUCUUCACUUCAUUAUCUUGGACUAGCCGGGGCAAGUAGAGCAGCUACCGUGCAAUCCACAUUUGUGUCUUCCGAAGAAGAAUUAUUUUUAGUGGUUUUUCUUGUCUUAAUAACUAAAUUCAAUUAACGGGGAAAAUAAAUGGUAUAUUGGCUUGAGGUGAUGCUUAUCAGUGUUGGCUUAAAAUCUCUGUGAAUCAAGGAACCCCUCUGUAGAAUAUGCAGUGCAAUAUGCUGUAGCAGCAUCCCUUGUGACAUUGGAAAAGGAUAAGAACGAUUUGAUACACAAACUACUUUUACAAGGUCUUGACAUUAGAAUCUUAGGUUGCAAUGACUUCUAUUCAUAUCAGAAUUAGGUGGGGUUUAUCAAGUGAGACCGGAAAAGGGAAAGUUGGCAGUGGUUUUGAUGUUAGUUCUGCAGUUUACGGUAGUCAACGAUAUGUUCUCUUUUCACCAAAAGUGCUUUCUUCUGCUCCGGCUUCUCUCUCUCUCUAUACAUACAGUUACAUUUUGUCCUCGUAAAGUAUUAUUGAAUUCUUACCUUGGCCCUUAAAGUUUAUUUUUCCCAAUUUGGUCUCUAAACUAUAUGAUCAUUCCCAAUUUGGCUCAAUUCCCAACCGUCGUCCAAAUUAUUGACAUAAAUUGGCACGUGGCACUCUUUGGCCCCACAUGGCAUAUUAAAUAACCAUUCAUUUUGGUACAUGUAUGAUAGCAUUAGUGUUACACUUUGGCAUUACAAUUCAUCAAUGAUCAUUGAUCAAAACAUAGCAUGAAAACAUUCAACUUCGUCAGAUAUCAAGAGCUCUGUGGCAGAGCCUAUGAUGGGAAUGAGCUGAGAACAUGAAAAAUAAAAGAAGGUUAGGAAGUUAUAGAAGACUGUUUUUGAUAGUGCCCUUUUGGGGACAACAUUGUAAUGAGGGCUACUUAAUUAGGUGUAUUUUUCUACAAACUUUCACUAGAAUUUGUCUUAUUUAUGAGUUUUCCUUACUUGGAAUUGCAGGAUGCUGUUUUUUUUAAUGAAUAAAAUUGUAGGAUGUAGUGAGAGGAAAAGCGUUAGAGGAAGUCAUUGGUGAUGUGCUGAAUGGCAAAUGGGACCAUGAGAGGACUACACAGAAGAGAAUGUACUGUUUUUUCCAUAGAGUUGCUACAUAUUGAAUCCUUAGUAGUUGGUAUUGUUUUUUCCUUAACAGCAUUACUAGAAAAUUGACUUUUUGCAUCUUCUUUUUUUUUUGGCGACCGUCUGUUUGGCCGUGGCAAAAAAUAUAUUUGCGACAACAUUAUGAGAUGCAAGUCAGGGGUGGUAAAAGGUCCAGUUUAUGAGUGGGCUUUAUAUUUGCCCAAUUUAUAUUUGCCCCCAUUUAUUUCUCCUAUUGUCUUUUAUUUAUAUUUUCCCUAGCCAGGCAUGCUCAAACGCUUUCUCUCUCUCUCUCUCUCUCUCUCUCUCUCUCCGAGGUUCUAUUCUUGUUGCUCACAUUGCAUAUAUAUACAGAUAUAGAUAUAUAAUAUAAAAACCAAGCAUGCAAGAAUCAGCUGUUGUAUAGAACAUCUUGUCAAAUCGAUU